RNAcentral lists this transfer RNA (86 nucleotides) under Candidatus Melainabacteria bacterium. Its description in RNAcentral is "tRNA-Tyr". It matches the Rfam family "tRNA". From Rfam's summary of the family: Transfer RNA (tRNA) molecules are approximately 80 nucleotides in length. Lineage: Bacteria; Bacillati; Candidatus Melainabacteria. The record is from RNAcentral.
GGGUAGAUGUCCGAGUGGUUAAAGGAGACAGACUGUAAAUCUGUUCACGCAAGUGUACGCUGGUUCGAAUCCAGCUCUGCCCACCA